AAUUGAACGCUGGCGGAAUGCUUUACACAUGCAAGUCGAACGGCAGCACGGAGAGCUUGCUCCGGUGGAUUAGUGGCGAACGGGUGAGUAACACGUGAGCAAUCUGCCCUUGACUCUGGGAUAACUGCGGGAAACUGUAGCUAAUACCGGAUACGACACCUUGGGGCAUCCCAGGGUGUGGAAAGAAUUUCGGUCAAGGAUGAGCUCGCGGCCUAUCAGCUAGUUGGUGAGGUAAUGGCUCACCAAGGCGACGACGGGUAGCCGGCCUGAGAGGGUGACCGGCCACACUGGAACUGAGACACGGUCCAGACUCCUACGGGAGGCAGCAGUGGGGAAUAUUGCACAAUGGGCGAAAGCCUGAUGCAGCAACGCCGCGUGAGGGAUGAAGGCCUUCGGGUUGUAAACCUCUUUUAGCAGGGAAGAAGCGAAAGUGACGGUACCUGCAGAAAAAGCACCGGCUAACUACGUG
RNAcentral lists this ribosomal RNA (469 nucleotides) under uncultured bacterium. RNAcentral describes it as "bacterial SSU rRNA". It matches the Rfam family "Bacterial small subunit ribosomal RNA", at positions 30 to 507 of the family's 1533-position model. The record is from RNAcentral.